AGAUGCAAAUUUUAAUUAAUUUAAUCGACAAGUUCAUCAGCUGACCAGAAUCCCAGCACUUAAUGCCCUGUCCAAUUUCUACAUCAGAUUGCAUGAUGUCACUCCUCCUCCCACCUUCCUGAAUGGACACAACAGAACUCUUUGCUGGGCCACCUGCAUUGAUUACUCCUCUAUCUACAUCCAUGGAAUAUGAGUAUGAGCCAAGGAUAAUUAAUCAGAAUUUCUUCCAACAUAAACCUCAG
Sceloporus undulatus (fence lizard) is the source of this 242-nucleotide long non-coding RNA. RefSeq lists it as uncharacterized. NCBI's taxonomy places the organism in Eukaryota, Metazoa, Chordata, Lepidosauria, Squamata, Phrynosomatidae. The record is from RefSeq and is a predicted model, not a curated record. The transcript has 3 exons.